This 328-nucleotide ribosomal RNA is filed under the name uncultured eukaryote. Its description in RNAcentral is "partial 18S ribosomal RNA". It matches the Rfam family "Eukaryotic small subunit ribosomal RNA", at positions 1470 to 1796 of the family's 1831-position model. The record is from RNAcentral.
CCCUUAGAUGUCCGGGGCCGCACGCGCGCUACACUGAAGGAAUCAGCGUGGCUUUCUCCCUGACCCGAAAGGGUUGGGAAACCCGUUGAAUCUCCUUCGUGGUAGGGAUUGGGGCUUGAAAUUGUUCCCCAUGAACGAGGAAUUCCCAGUAAGCGCGAGUCAUAAGCUCGCGUUGAUUACGUCCCUGCCCUUUGUACACACCGCCCGUCGCACCUACCGAUUGAAUGGUCCGGUGAGGCCUCGGGAUUGUGGCCAGUUUCCUUUAUUGGGAGUUGGCUGCGAGAACUUGUCCAAACCUUAUCAUUUAGAGGAAGGUGAAGUCGUAACA